RNAcentral lists this ribosomal RNA (574 nucleotides) under uncultured bacterium. Its description in RNAcentral is "partial 16S ribosomal RNA". It matches the Rfam family "Bacterial small subunit ribosomal RNA", at positions 355 to 919 of the family's 1533-position model. The record is from RNAcentral.
UGGGGAAUUUUGGACAAUGGGCGCAAGCCUGAUCCAGCCAUGCCGCGUGCGGGAAGAAGGCCUUCGGGUUGUAAACCGCUUUUGUCAGGGAAGAAAUCUUCUGAGUUAAUACCUCGGGAGGAUGACGGUACCUGAAGAAUAAGCACCGGCUAACUACGUGCCAGCAGCCGCGGUAAUACGUAGGGUGCAAGCGUUAAUCGGAAUUACUGGGCGUAAAGCGUGCGCAGGCGGUUUUGUAAGACAGAGGUGAAAUCCCCGGGCUCAACCUGGGAACUGCCUUUGUGACUGCAAGGCUUGAGUGCGGCAGAGGGGGAUGGAAUUCCGCGUGUAGCAGUGAAAUGCGUAGAUAUGCGGAGGAACACCGAUGGCGAAGGCAAUCCCCUGGGCCUGCACUGACGCUCAUGCACGAAAGCGUGGGGAGCAAACCAGGAUUAGAUAGCCCUGGUAGUCCACGCCCUAAAACGAUGUCAACUGGUUGUUGGGAAGGUUCCUUCUCAGUAACGUAGCUAACGCGUGAAGUUGACCGCCUGGGGAGUACGGCCGCAAGGUUGAAACUCAAAUGAAUUGACGGGGU